UGAUUGUCCAAACGCAAUUCUUGUACAAAUAUAAUAUCAAGAAAUGUGUAGGGGCAUCGUU
Molecule: microRNA precursor, 61 nt
Filed under: Daphnia pulex (common water flea)
Lineage: Eukaryota; Metazoa; Arthropoda; Branchiopoda; Diplostraca; Daphniidae
Description: Dpu-Mir-219_pre stem-loop
Source: RNAcentral